UACGUAGGGGGCGAGCGUUGUCCGGAAUCAUUGGGCGUAAAGUGCGUGUAGGCGGUCCGGUAAGUCCGCUGUGAAAGUCGGGGGCUCAACCCUCGGAUGCCGGUGGAUACUGUCGGGCUUGAGUACGGAAGAGGCGAGUGGAAUUCCUGGUGUAGCGGUGAAAUGCGCAGAUAUCAGGAGGAACACCAAUUGCGAAGGCAGCUCGCUGGGACGUUACUGACGCUGAGACGCGAAAGCGUGGGGAGCAAACAGG
RNAcentral lists this ribosomal RNA (253 nucleotides) under uncultured bacterium. Its description in RNAcentral is "partial 16S ribosomal RNA". It matches the Rfam family "Bacterial small subunit ribosomal RNA", at positions 524 to 776 of the family's 1533-position model. The record is from RNAcentral.